CGAAAUUCUUAAGCUGCUAUGCAAGGAACGAGGGUUCAAUCUAUUAUCGAAAGCAACAAAAUUUGCAAUUUAUUUCCCAUAAGCUAUGGCCGAGUUGGAUGCUACAACCCUAUCUGAAUACGAUAUUGAAUAUAUAGACUUUAACAUGACAACUGUGGCGUACCGUACAACCACUGGACACCCGGAUACUAACCUAGGUGCUUGGGGACUUUUGUUCAUAUUCGUCGUAAUUUUUCUUAUCAUUGCUGCCUGCUGUGCUUGUAUGGGUGUUCUCGUCCUUUUUGGUUGUAUGAAGUCCUUUCUCUGUUUUCGCUGUAGACGCCGAGGCGACGAGUUUAUAGGAAGGGAACCCUGACUGUCGUUGAAAUUCUGUCAUUAAAACUGAAACUUGUGCUAAUAAAAUUAUAUGUUUUGUAUGAAUCG
Molecule: long non-coding RNA, 423 nt
Filed under: Drosophila melanogaster (fruit fly)
Lineage: Eukaryota; Metazoa; Arthropoda; Insecta; Diptera; Drosophilidae
Description: long non-coding RNA:CR43405
Source: RNAcentral